Molecule: ribosomal RNA, 255 nt
Filed under: uncultured bacterium
Lineage: Bacteria
Description: partial 16S ribosomal RNA
Rfam family: Bacterial small subunit ribosomal RNA
Source: RNAcentral
UACAGAGGGUGCAAGCGUUGUUCGGAAUUAUUGGGCGUAAAGGGCGCGUAGGCGGUGCGGUAAGUCUGUAGUGAAAUCUCUGGGCUCAACUCAGAGUCUGCUGCAGAAACUGCCGUGCUUGAGUGUGGGAGAGGUGAGUGGAAUUCCCGGUGUAGCGGUGAAAUGCGUAGAUAUCGGGGAGGAACACCUGUGGCGAAAGCGGCUCACUGGACCACAACUGACGCUGAGGCGCGAAAGCUAGGGGAGCAAACAGGG